This 253-nucleotide ribosomal RNA is filed under the name uncultured bacterium. RNAcentral describes it as "partial 16S ribosomal RNA". It matches the Rfam family "Bacterial small subunit ribosomal RNA", at positions 524 to 776 of the family's 1533-position model. The record is from RNAcentral.
UACGUAGGGUGCGAGCGUUAAUCGGAAUUACUGGGCGUAAAGGGUGCGCAGGCGAUUUUGUAAGCCAGAUGUGAAAUCCCCGGGCUCAACCUGGGAAUGGCAUUUGGGACUGCAAGGCUAGAGUGUGGCAGAGGAGACUGGAAUUCCCGGUGUAGCAGUGAAAUGCGUAGAUAUCGGGAGGAAUACCGAUGGCGAAGGCAGGUCUCUGGGCUGACACUGACGCUCAUGCACGAAAGCGUGGGGAGCAAACAGG